GGCCCCAUCGUUUAGCGGCCUAGGACGCUGCCCUUUCACGGCAGUAGCACGGGUUCGAAUCCCGUUGGGGUCA
This 73-nucleotide transfer RNA is filed under the name Subtercola boreus. It matches the Rfam family "tRNA". From Rfam's summary of the family: Transfer RNA (tRNA) molecules are approximately 80 nucleotides in length. Their secondary structure includes four short double-helical elements and three loops (D, anti-codon, and T loops). Further hydrogen bonds mediate the characteristic L-shaped molecular structure. tRNAs have two regions of fundamental functional importance: the anti-codon, which is responsible for specific mRNA codon recognition, and the 3' end, to which the tRNAs corresponding amino acid is attached (by aminoacyl-tRNA synthetases). tRNAs cope with the degeneracy of the genetic code in two manners: having more than one tRNA (with a specific anti-codon) for a particular amino acid; and 'wobble' base-pairing, i.e. permitting non-standard base-pairing at the 3rd anti-codon position. Lineage: Bacteria; Bacillati; Actinomycetota; Actinomycetes; Micrococcales; Microbacteriaceae. RNAcentral also lists the same sequence under 10 other names. The record is from Rfam by way of RNAcentral.